UUUAAAAAAAACCCAGCUUGUUUCAUUCGUCUGUAAAUCUCUUUGGCGGAGAUUGAAUAUAUAAGUGUCACGGAACACACUUGAUAUAAUAUCAAGGAAACUCGGCGUUUUUAAUUAUUUUUAGUCCGGCAUGAAUCUCUUGGAUAGUUAGGUGGGUGUACAAUCUUAUACAGAACAUGUUCUGGAAUCAUAGAAGAAUCGCCUUUCAUGGUCAGAUUCCCUAAUUGAAAAGUGUACAUCCACCGCGGAAUCACAUUAAGGGGCGGAGGAGCAAAUGAGAGAUACAACGUGCAAGGACAUUGUUUGCCACAUAUGGUAACAGAGUGCACAAAUAUCAACACACAGGCCUGGAAAUGGUCAGUCAAGUCACUAACAGAAUAAUCGCAAAAGGACGUAGCAUGUCCAAAUAAUCUUGGAGGAACCAUGCCGAUGGCAAUGCCGGUAUUUUAUUUCGAUAUGCGAGAAAUCGAUAACUUAAGCGUUGGGUCUACUUAUAAUAAACCUUAAUUCCGGUGUCAACGUCCUUCUUGUUUGGGAUUGGUUGUAAUUACCACCGCCAAGAAGAUGACUGCAAAACGAGCUCCAAUUCAAAUGAACAAAAUAGCAUGUAAACACCGCCUCCGAGAAAAAGAAAUCCACGUGCGAAAGGAACGAACUGAGAAACCCUGCAGACGAUAGAAAACGUGACUACUAGAUAACGAAGCGAAUAUACGAGAACCACAGACUAGGCUCUCUUUGAUCAUCUGAUUUAAUUGACAACAUCAAAUCCUAUUACAGGAGACGUUGGCACUGCAGACGAUCUUGGUGUCGUUUUCUGUAGAGCGGAAUGUUUAACGGUUUAUAUCACCCUCUUUGAAAUCAUUUAUAUCAUGAAUUUUAUAUUAUAUCGGAUCAUGUUAUGAAAGGCACGAAAAGUCUAUAGCAAUAAAUGCAACAAACGGAGUUUGAAGAAUACAACGUCACGUAGUUCUGAGACAACAGAAUUAACACCUGAUGUCAUAUACAAAAAAUACAGUAACCGCUUUUUAUCAUUUCAACUUACAAUUUUACAUCACUCUGAAAAUUCCUUUAACUUUUGAUGAAAGUGAAAAAAUUCAUGACCAGUAUACCGGUACCAUAUUAUGUCAGUGAUAUGACUGUAUGUAUACGAUUAAAAAUAAUUAUAUACAGGGGUGCUUACUCUUCCUUGACAUAUGAUCCCACUUUCAUUAUUUCCAGGGGUCCUUGCUUACCCUACUUUCAAUAUUGCAUUCUGAAUAGUUUUAUAGGAUUGAUCACUCCUCGUUAUCUCAACUUGUUUUAUCUGGAAUCUAUCGGGGAAAAGGAAAGAAAAAAAAAAGGUGUCCAGCAACGGACGCUUGACGGACCCUGCAUGCAGAACUAUAAUACACUGUACAUCUAACAGGACCCCUCAUCACGAAGCACCUUCUGAUGAUACGAUGUACCUUCUGAUGAUACGAUGUACCUUCUGAUGAUACGAUGUACCUUCUGAUAAUACGAUGUACCUUCUGAUGAUACGAUAUACCUUCUGAUGAUAAUAUGUACCUUCUGAUGAUACGAUGUACCUUCUGAUGAUACUAUGUACCUUCUGAUAAUACGAUAUACCUUCUGGUGAUACGAUGUACCUUCUGAUAAUACGAUGUACCUUCUGAUAAUACGAUGUACCUUCUGAUAAUACGAUGUACCUUCUGAUGAUACGAUAUACCUUCUGAUGAUACUAUGUACCUUCUGAUAAUGCAAUGUUCCUUCUGAUAAUACGAUGUUCCUUCUGAUAUUUGCCAUGCAACUUCUGAUAAUUGCCAUGUACAUGUACCUUCUAAUGGUCAAUGGCUAUAUAGAUAUUUUAAAAUUUUGCAUUUUGACUGUCUACUAUUGACAUAAAUAGUACUAGGGUUGUUCAGCAUGAUAACGCUAGCCUUUUCUUCUAUUCAAAAUCGAUUUAAGGCAUUUAUACUGGCUAAAUGCGCUCUUUACCAUAUUUGCAGUUAGAAACAUGUUUGUUUGUUCUUGGGAGAAGUGAAUUCAUUCUAAUACAUACAGAUGACCGAGAGUAUAGAUGAGUCUUUGUAUUAAUACUAAGCAGAGCUGGUGAUGGGUUCCGAAGGAAUGAAUAGUAUAGGAUUGAUAGUGUUAAUGGCCUCAGCCGGAUUAUCCCUCUGCCAACAAUUUCAUAAUGUCUACGUAAAUAUAUAAUACACGGCGACGACAAACAACAAUGCUGUAGUCCUUAUUCCUUUAUCUCAUACAGCAAAGCAUUCUUGGUGAUAUUUCGGGGGGAAAUAUGUUGCAACAAUUUGAAGUGUCUUUAUCGACCUUAAACAGCAAAAUUAAUCACAGGAAAUUCAUUUAUCGUGAAUUCAAAUAAAGCAUUAUAAAAUAACAGUUUCCGUAUCCUAGCAACAUGACAACGGCGUAACCAUGGAUACAGGGAAUUUUUACAAAUGUUUUAUAGUGGGCAUUAACAUGAAAUAAAUACAAAAAGUCGUAUGGGGUUCACACUGAAUGACAUUUAUGAUCGCAGCCAACAGUUAAUUUACAGAACAUGCAACACUCUCGAAGACUAGUUCAACUUUCUUUGUGAAUAAUGAUAGUUUAUACUAGGUUCAAUGAUAUGUUUUAAAUGAUACGUGCACUAAGACCUACUUACAUUCAAGGUAAGUAGAUAAUUUUGUUCAGGUGAUACAACGCUUGCAAUUCUAGAAAUAUUCCAGCAAGUCAUGAAUUCAUCAUGGUCUGUCAAACAGUAUUUGUGCAAUUAAAGAACCGUAAUAAAUAUUUUGUUA
This is a long non-coding RNA of Ostrea edulis (European flat oyster), 2783 nucleotides long. RefSeq lists it as uncharacterized. NCBI's taxonomy places the organism in Eukaryota, Metazoa, Mollusca, Bivalvia, Ostreida, Ostreidae. The transcript has 5 exons. The record is from RefSeq and is a predicted model, not a curated record.